Molecule: ribosomal RNA, 407 nt
Filed under: uncultured bacterium
Lineage: Bacteria
Description: partial 16S ribosomal RNA
Rfam family: Bacterial small subunit ribosomal RNA
Source: RNAcentral
AUUGAACGCUAGCGGGAUGCCUUACACAUGCAAGUCGAACGGAGUGGCGAACGGGUGAGUAAUGUAUCGGAACGUGCCCCGUAGCGGGGGAUAACUACGCGAAAGCGUAGCUAAUACCGCAUACUAUUGGACCGGCCGAUAUCGGAUUAGCUAGUUGGUGGGGUAACGGCUCACAAAGGCGACGAUCCGUAGCUGGUUUGAGAGGACGACCAGCCAAACUGGGACUGAGACACGGCCCAGACUCCUAAGGGAGGAAGCAGUGGGGAAUUUUGGAAAAGGGGGGAAACCCUGAUCCAGCAAGCCCGCGUGGGCGGUGAAGGCCUUCGGGUUGUAAAGCACGUUUGGCAGGACGGCGGUACCUGCAGAAUAAGCACCGGCUAACUACGUGCCAGCAGCCGCGGUAAUUC